UGUUGUAGGUGUUGUGGUUGUAGCAGUUGUUGUAGUUGACUGAGUUGUUGUUGUUGUUGUAGGUGUUGUGGUUGUAGCAGUUGUUGUAGUUGACUGAGUUGUUGUUGUUGUUGUAGGUGUUGUGGUUGUAGCAGUUGCUGUAGUUGACUGAGUUGUUGUUGUUGUAGUAGGUGUUGUGGUUGUAGGAGUUGUAGUUGUAACUGUGGUAGAUGCAGUUGAAGGACACCCACAACAUUUGAAUUUAAUCUCAUAUUCAAAACACUCUAGAUUGAGCCCUUGCUGUUUGUUGAUGCAUACGAGACCCACAUCUUUAUUGCAAGUCACAGUUUGUCCCAACUCUGGUAUGGAAAGACCUGGGUAAAGAACCGCUCUGCACUGGACUUCUUCUGGAGAUGAGCAAAUAUGAUAACCAGCAGAGAUUAUAUUCUGGAUUGUGUCAUUUUGUCCACCAUCAGGUCCCGGUGUAGGAUUUCCCAGAUUGAUCCAAUUUGACCAAUCACACAUGACAUCAUGUCCUCCGGGGCAAGGUGUAGGUUGCUGAGUUGUCACUGUUGUUGUAGGUGUUGUGGUUGUAACAGUUGUUGUAGUUGACUGAGUUGUUGUAGUUGUUGUUGUAGGUGUUGUGGUUGUAGGAGUUGUUGUAGUUGACUGAGUUGUUGUUGUUGUUGUUGUAGGUGUUGUGGUUGUAGGAGCUGUAGUUGUAACUGUGGUAGAUGGAAUUGGAGGACACCCACAGCAUUUAAAUUUAAUCUCAUAUUCAAAACACUCUUGAUUGAGCCCUUGCUGUUUGUUGAUGCAUACGAGACCCACAUCUUUAUUGCAAGUCACAGUUUGUCCCAACUGUGGUAUGGAAAGACCUGGGUAAAGAACCGCUCUGCACUGGACUUCUUCUGGAGAUGAGCAAAUAUGAUAACCAGCAGAGAUUAUAUUCUGGAUUGUGUCAUUUUGUCCACCAUCAGGUCCCGGUGUAGGAUUUCCCAGAUUGAUCCAAUUUGACCAAUCACACGUGACAUCAUGUCCUCCAGGGCAAGUUACAGGUGGCUGAGUUGUCACUGUUGUUGUAGGUGUUGUGGUUGUAGCAGUUGUCGUAGUUGACUGAGUUGUUGUUGUUGUUGUUGUAGGUGUUGUGGUUGUAGGAGUUGUAGUUGUAACUGUGGUAGAUGCAGUUGGAGGACACCCACAGCAUUUGAAUUUAAUCUCAUAUUCAAAACACUCUUGAUUGAGCCCUUGUUGUUUGUUGAUGCAUACGAGACCCACAUCUUUAUUGCAAGUCACAGUUUGUCCCAACUGUGGUAUGGAAAGACCUGGGUAAAGAACCGCUCUGCACUGGACUUCUUCUGGAGAUGAGCAAAUAUGAUAACCAGCAGAGAUUAUAUUCUGGAUUGUGUCAUUUUGUCCACCAUCAGGUCCCGGUGUAGGAUUUCCCAGAUUGAUCCAAUUUGACCAAUCACACGUGACAUCAUGUCCUCCAGGGCAAGUUACAGGUGCCUGAGUUGUCACUGUUGUUGUAGGUGUUGUGGUUGUAGCAGUUGUCGUAGUUGACUGAGUUGUUGUUGUUGUUGUUGUUGUAGGUGUUGUGGUUGUAGCAGUUGUCGUAGUUGACUGAGUUGUUGUUGUUGUUGUUGUAGGUGUUGUGGUUGUAGGAGUUGUAGUUGUAACUGUGGUAGAUGCAGUUGGAGGACACCCACAGCAUUUGAAUUUAAUCUCAUAUUCAAAACACUCUUGAUUGAGCCCUUGCUGUUUGUUGAUGCAUACGAGACCCACAUCUUUAUUGCAAGUCACAGUUUGUCCCAACUCUGGUAUGGAAAGACCUGGGUAAAGAACCGCUCUGCACUGGACUUCUUCUGGAGAU
Acanthochromis polyacanthus (spiny chromis) is the source of this 1852-nucleotide long non-coding RNA. RefSeq lists it as uncharacterized. Lineage: Eukaryota; Metazoa; Chordata; Actinopteri; Pomacentridae. The transcript is spliced from 3 exons. The record is from RefSeq and is a predicted model, not a curated record.